Molecule: transfer RNA, 63 nt
Filed under: Empoasca flavescens
Lineage: Eukaryota; Metazoa; Arthropoda; Insecta; Hemiptera; Cicadellidae
Description: tRNA-Cys
Source: RNAcentral
GAUCUUAUAGUUUAAAUAAAAAUAAGAAAUUGCAAAUUUCUAGAAAGCUGUUGUUUAAGAUUU